CUUCUGUCGCUCACGCUCAAUGCGGUCCGUAC
This 32-nucleotide non-coding RNA is filed under the name Geobacter sulfurreducens PCA. The record is from RNAcentral. Lineage: Bacteria; Pseudomonadati; Thermodesulfobacteriota; Desulfuromonadia; Geobacterales; Geobacteraceae.